RNAcentral lists this ribosomal RNA (568 nucleotides) under uncultured bacterium. RNAcentral describes it as "bacterial SSU rRNA". It matches the Rfam family "Bacterial small subunit ribosomal RNA", at positions 337 to 917 of the family's 1533-position model. The record is from RNAcentral.
UCCUACGGGAGGCAGCAGUGGGGAAUUUUCCGCAAUGGGCGAAAGCCUGACGGAGCAAUACCGCGUGAGGGAAGACUGCCUAUGGGUUGUAAACCUCUUUUUUCAGGGAGGAACAAAAUGACGUGUACCUGAAGAAUAAGCAUCGGCUAACUCCGUGCCAGCAGCCGCGGUAAGACGGAGGAUGCAAGUGUUAUCCGGAAUUACUGGGCGUAAAGCGUCUGUAGGUGGUUUAGUAAGUCAACUGUUAAAUCUUGAGGCUCAACUUCAAAUCAGCAGUCGAAACUAUUAGACUAGAGUAUAGUAGGGGUAAAGGGAAUUUCCAGUGGAGCGGUGAAAUGCGUAGAUAUUGGAAAGAACACCGAUGGCGAAAGCACUUUACUGGGCUAUUACUAACACUCAGAGACGAAAGCUAGGGUAGCAAAUGGGAUUAGAUACCCCAGUAGUCCUAGCUGUAAACAAUGGAUACUAGAUGUUGAACAGAUCGACCUGUGCAGUAUUAAAGCUAACGCGUUAAGUAUCCCGCCUGGGAAGUAUGCUCGCAAGAGUGAAACUCAAAGGAAUUGACGGA